CCAAUAGCGUAUAUUAAGGUUGUUGCAGUUAAAAAGCUCGUAGUUGAAUUUCGGGGUCAGUAGGCUGGUCGUGCCACAGGUAUGCACUGGUCUUACUGAUUCCUCCUUCCUGAUGAACCGUAAUGCCAUUAAUUUGGUGUUGCGGGGAAUCUGGACUGUUACUUUGAAAAAAUUAGAGUGUUUAAAGCAGGCUCACGCUUGAAUACAUUAGCAUGGAAUAACGAAAUAGGACGUUUGAUUCUAUUUUGUUGGUUUCUAGGAUCGACGUAAUGAUUAAUAGGGAUAGUUGGGGGCAUUAGUAUUCAAUUGUCAGAGAUGAAAUUCUUGGAUUUAUUGAAGACUAACUACUGCGAAAGCAUUUGCCAAGGAUGUUUUCAUUAAUCAAGAACGAAAGUUAAGGGAUCGAAGACGAUCAGAUACUGUCGUAGUCUUAACCAUAAACUAUGCCGAUUAGGGAUCGGAUGAUGUUAAUUUUUUAAUGACUCAUUCGGCGCCUUACA
Molecule: ribosomal RNA, 500 nt
Filed under: uncultured Glomeromycotina
Lineage: Eukaryota; Fungi; Glomeromycota
Description: partial small subunit ribosomal RNA
Rfam family: Eukaryotic small subunit ribosomal RNA
Source: RNAcentral